RNAcentral lists this unclassified non-coding RNA (337 nucleotides) under soil metagenome. RNAcentral's name for it is "partial contains 5.8S ribosomal RNA, internal transcribed spacer 2, and large subunit ribosomal RNA". The stretch from base 1 to 120 matches the Rfam family "5.8S ribosomal RNA", at positions 35 to 154 of the family's 154-position model. The record is from RNAcentral.
GAUGAAGAACGUAGCGAAAUGCGAUAAGAAGUGUGAAUUGCAGAAUUCAGUGAAUCAUCGAAUCUUUGAACGCACAUUGCGCCCCUUGGUAUUCCAUGGGGCAUGCCUGUUCGAGCGUCAUUUGUACCUUCAAGCUCUGCUUGGUGUUGGGUGUUUGUCUCGCCUCUGCGUGUAGACUCGCCUCAAAACAAUUGGCAGCCGGCGUAUUGAUUUCGGAGCGCAGUACAUCUCGCGCUUUGCACUCAUAACGACGACGUCCAAAAGUACAUUUUUACACUCUUGACCUCGGAUCAGGUAGGGAUACCCGCUGAACUUAAGCAUAUCAAUAAGCGGAGGA